Molecule: unclassified non-coding RNA, 3542 nt
Filed under: Haliotis rufescens (red abalone)
Lineage: Eukaryota; Metazoa; Mollusca; Gastropoda; Lepetellida; Haliotidae
Description: uncharacterized LOC124133374, transcript variant X1
Source: RNAcentral
GUUAUACAUUUUGCCCAUGUAAAUAUACCAUGAAGUAGACCUAUUGGAAGAGCCAACAACCUUUCCCUCCGUUUCAUUUUACGUUUUAGUAUUUCUGGCCACAAAUUCCAUCGCGGUUGGGAAUUAGCUUCCGGAAGUCUCGAAUGGAACAGUACAGACAAACAUACACACACGGAAAGAUGGAUAAACAGAGUUAAUCUAUAAAUACCAUGAACAUAGACGCCAGCAACAGUUCCUGGAACCAGAGCGAGACGGAACCCGUCGCGCGCUGACACAUAUUCGCAGGAGCUGUUAUCGACCGGGAUACGUAAUGGCGGAGAUAUUACUCAACAGCUCUUCGACAUCGACAGCCGAAUUCUUCGCCACCGGCCGUUUGGAAAACUAGGGCGCCAUCAUGGCCGAGAGCGCUCCAUCUGUGGAUGCUGUUCCUGUUUCUGGGAGCGAUCAACAUGCAUCGUCAGCCAACCCAGUGAGUCCCUUGAAUACAGCAGCGGCCAGCCAGCAUGCGCAGUCGCCCGUCUCGACAACCAACCGCCUUACUCCUACAACAAAGAAGAUAGGAGAAAAGUUUUUAACAUGUCCGAUUUGUUUCGAGAUGUACAGUCACCCCAAGUGCCUGCCAUGUCUCCAUACCUUCUGCCGUCACUGUCUAGACUCCUACAUACAAUCCCAGGAUGCAUUUCGUGCCAGAAGGAAGCACGGAUUUCCCUGCCCAUUGUGCAACCAGUUCUACUUUAUUAAAAGCUUUGAAAUGCCCUUAAGCCAGUGGGUGGAAGGUAUUCAAAACAACUUCAUGGUACAGAAUAUGAUAGAAUAUCUUCUUCCACAGGCCGUUGAUCAAGCUGAAAAUGUGUGUCCUCUGUCUGUAAACCCAUCUCCUGUCAGAAGCUCUAUGUCGAAUCAAGACAAUGUGCCCGAAGAUAGUGGUUCCCUGGAGGUCCUUCCUGCUGGACCAAACCCAGAUAAUGGCCAACACCAGGAUGAGGAUGCAGAGGACAGCAGCACAGCUGCUCCAUCUGUAUUGAACCCGUCCAUGGAGCCAGUUGCAUUACAAAGCCAGCACCCGUCACGAUACGCCCCUCGGCGUUCACUGAUAGAAACAGGUAAAAGCAACGACCAUAUUCGACACAGUUUCCCAUAUGGAGGCAUGGCGCUUUCCUAUCCAACACAUGAUUUUUAUUCUGAAGUUAAAUUGCAAGUCAACAUGAACCCCCUGUGCACUACGAAGAGUCACAGUUCUAAUGACUUAAACCGACAUGAAAUGCCCGCCUACUAUGUUGAUUCGGACACGAUGGAAAGGGUUGGCCUUUACAGAACCUCCAUAGACAGGCAGUUUUCGGACGUGUGUUGUCUAUCUAAAGCAAACACUAUCGUUAUCACAGACUAUAACAACAGCCAUGUUCUUCUCUGGGAGGGGUUCUUCCAAGGUUGCAAAACCUAUACAAAGGUCAAGGUGGAUGGGAAACCGACAUCAGUGGCACCGCUGGACGAAUCUCUAGAGGACUGUGUCGUGGUCAACCUUCUUAACAAGGGCAAGAUUAUCUUCAUUUCCAUCCCGGAAUUGUAUUUUUUGCGCAUUAUUGACACUGAGGUCAACGUCCGAAGUGUGGCGAUGCUGACCACCAACACGCUGCUCACCGGAAGUUCCAUCAGACCAGCCAGGAUCGACAUGGUCCAAGUUGACAAUCGUUUUCAGGUGACCAGAAGGCACUGCUUACUCGAGAACAGCCAGCAGUGCUGGGCCAUCUGUACCCCGAAUCACAUGUGUGGUGUGACAACCGAUACCUUUGUGGUCGCCGAUACGCUGCAGAAGAGUCUGGUUGGGUAUGACAUCAAGACUAAGAAUGGCAGGAAGGUGGGGGAGAAGAGCUUUUCCUUCACGCCUUUGGGUGACCGGAAGUUCGUCAGUCUUGGUGGAUUGUGUUGUCACAGGUCUUCCGGGAGCAUCUACGUGGUCGACCACGACGACAAUGCGGUGUAUCGAGUUCAUGUGGGGACCACCGUCAGAUGUGAAAAAGUGCUUUGUGAGAAGAAUGGCAUCAGGAAACCGACAUCUGUUUGUUUGAGUCUGCGCGACGAGCUGUGUGUGGUUGACUGGCAAGGUCGUAUCUCCGUUUACAAACCGAAAUGUGUGCCCAAAGCAUAGUCUGUGUGGGAGCAGGGACUGAUCUGCAAUGAGUUGAAGAGGAUUGUCUAGUUGUGAAGAUAGGGAACUGUUUGGGUGUGAAGAGGGUGGUAUGUGUUGAUGUUAAGAAGAUUCGCUGUGGGGAUGUGAAGAGGAUUCGCUGUGGGAAUGUGAAGAGGAUUCACUGUGUUGAUGUGAAGAUGUGUUGACUGUGGGUGUGUGAAGAGUAUUGACUGGGGAUGUGAGCAGUAUUCACUGUGUUGGAUGUGAAGAGGAUUCACUGUGUUGAUGUGAAGAGGAUUGACUGUGGGAAUAUGAAGAGGGUUCCCUGUGGGGAUGUGAAGAGGAUUGACUGUGUUGGAUGUGAAGAGGGUUCCCUGUGGGGAUGUGAAGAGGGUUCCCUGUGUUGAUGUGAAGAGGGUUCCCUGUGGGGAUGUGAAGAGGAUUGACUGUGUUGAUGUGAAGAGGGUUCCCUGUGGGGAUGUGAAGAGGAUUGACUGUGUUGAUGUGAAGAGGGUUCCCUGUGGGGAUGUGAAGAGGGUUCCCUGUGGGGAUGUGAAGAGGAUUGACUGUGUUGAUGUGAAGAGGGUUCCCUGUGGGGAUGUGAAGAGGGUUCCCUGUGGGGAUGUGAAGAGGGUUCCCUGUGGGGAUGUGAAGAGGAUUGACUGUGUUGAUGUGAAGAGGGUUCCCUGUGGGGAUGUGAAGAGGGUUCCCUGUGGGGAUGUGAAGAGGGUUCCCUGUGGGGAUGUGAAGAGGAUUGACUGUGUUGAUGUGAAGAGGGUUCCCUGUGUUGAUGUGAAGAGGGUUCCCUGUGGGGAUGUGAAGAGGAUUCCCUGUGGGGAUGUGAAGAGGGUGACCCGUGUGGAGGUGAAGAUGAGGGACUUUGUGUGCGUGAAUAGACCUUGAUUGUGAAGUGUGCACACACAUGCUGGAACGUGUGUACAAGCACCGACGGGUCAGAGUGCAGAUGGAUGACAAAAGCAGACAAAUUUAUGGAUACCAACUACUUUAAGACUGUAAAGGCGACGUUUCGGUUUAGAUCCUUAACUUCUAAGUAAUGCCUAUCAAAUAAUUCAGUGUGCAGAUGGCUGUUUGAAGGGAGUGAAGAGGAUACUUUGGUGUAGUCACAGGAUGAACGGAUUGUGGGUCACAGGAAUGAUGUACAUAGAUCACAGCAUGAAGUGCACGUGGGUCUACAGGAUGUGUGUAUGUUAGUCACAUGACGUGAUGUUUGGAGUUGGCUUACCUAGUCACAUGUCAGUGUCUGUGUUUAGCUCACCUGACCUAAAAGUUCAAGUGAGCUCGUAUUGCAGUACUUUGUCCGCCAUCUGUCCGUCCGUCAUAAACUUUUCACGGCUGCAUCUGUGAAUUGAGUAAAGAACACACCAUGUGUUUCAUAUAACUUGAGUUAAUUUGG